UACGUAGGUGGCAAGCGUUGUCCGGAAUUAUUGGGCGUAAAGCGCGCGCAGGCGGCCUCUUAAGUCUGAUGUGAAAGCCCCCGGCUCAACCGGGGAGGGCCAUUGGAAACUGGGAGGCUUGAGUAUAGGAGAGAAGAGUGGAAUUCCACGUGUAGCGGUGAAAUGCGUAGAGAUGUGGAGGAACACCAGUGGCGAAGGCGACUCUUUGGCCGUA
Molecule: ribosomal RNA, 214 nt
Filed under: uncultured bacterium
Lineage: Bacteria
Description: partial 16S ribosomal RNA
Rfam family: Bacterial small subunit ribosomal RNA
Source: RNAcentral